RNAcentral lists this ribosomal RNA (1372 nucleotides) under uncultured bacterium. RNAcentral describes it as "bacterial SSU rRNA". It matches the Rfam family "Bacterial small subunit ribosomal RNA", at positions 28 to 1381 of the family's 1533-position model. The record is from RNAcentral.
GAUGAACGCUGGCGGCGUGCCUAAUACAUGCAAGUCGAGCGAACGGACGAGAAGCUUGCUUCUCUGAUGUUAGCGGCGGACGGGUGAGUAACACGUGGAUAACCUACCUAUAAGACUGGGAUAACUUCGGGAAACCGGAGCUAAUACCGGAUAAUAUUUUGAACCGCAUGGUUCAAAAGUGAAAGACGGUCUUGCUGUCACUUAUAGAUGGAUCCGCGCUGCAUUAGCUAGUUGGUAAGGUAACGGCUUACCAAGGCAACGAUGCAUAGCCGACCUGAGAGGGUGAUCGGCCACACUGGAACUGAGACACGGUCCAGACUCCUACGGGAGGCAGCAGUAGGGAAUCUUCCGCAAUGGGCGAAAGCCUGACGGAGCAACGCCGCGUGAGUGAUGAAGGUCUUCGGAUCGUAAAACUCUGUUAUUAGGGAAGAACAUAUGUGUAAGUAACUGUGCACAUCUUGACGGUACCUAAUCAGAAAGCCACGGCUAACUACGUGCCAGCAGCCGCGGUAAUACGUAGGUGGCAAGCGUUAUCCGGAAUUAUUGGGCGUGAAGCGCGCGUAGGCGGUUUUUUAAGUCUGAUGUGAAAGCCCACGGCUCAACCGUGGAGGGUCAUUGGAAACUGGAAAACUUGAGUGCAGAAGAGGAAAGUGGAAUUCCAUGUGUAGCGGUGAAAUGCGCAGAGAUAUGGAGGAACACCAGUGGCGAAGGCGACUUUCUGGUCUGUAACUGACGCUGAUGUGCGAAAGCGUGGGGAUCAAACAGGAUUAGAUACCCUGGUAGUCCACGCCGUAAACGAUGAGUGCUAAGUGUUAGGGGGUUUCCGCCCCUUAGUGCUGCAGCUAACGCAUUAAGCACUCCGCCUGGGGAGUACGACCGCAAGGUUGAAACUCAAAGGAAUUGACGGGGACCCGCACAAGCGGUGGAGCAUGUGGUUUAAUUCGAAGCAACGCGAAGAACCUUACCAAAUCUUGACAUCCUUUGACAACUCUAGAGAUAGAGUCUUCCCCUUCGGGGGACAAAGUGACAGGUGGUGCAUGGUUGUCGUCAGCUCGUGUCGUGAGAUGUUGGGUUAAGUCCCGCAACGAGCGCAACCCUUAAGCUUAGUUGCCAUCAUUAAGUUGGGCACUCUAAGUUGACUGCCUGUGACAAACCGGAGGAAGGUGGGGAUGACGUCAAAUCAUCAUGCCCCUUAUGAUUUGGGCUACACACGUGCUACAAUGGACAAUACAAAGGGCAGCGAAACCGCGAGGUCAAGCAAAUCCCAUAAAGUUGUUCUCAGUUCGGAUUGUAGUCUGCAACUCGACUACAUGAAGCUGGAAUCGCUAGUAAUCGUAGAUCAGCAUGCUACGGUGAAUACGUUCCCGGGUCU